This 463-nucleotide ribosomal RNA is filed under the name Vreelandella stevensii. Its description in RNAcentral is "partial 16S ribosomal RNA". It matches the Rfam family "Bacterial small subunit ribosomal RNA", at positions 338 to 795 of the family's 1533-position model. The record is from RNAcentral. Lineage: Bacteria; Pseudomonadati; Pseudomonadota; Gammaproteobacteria; Oceanospirillales; Halomonadaceae.
CCUACGGGAGGCAGCAGUGGGGAAUAUUGGACAAUGGGCGAAAGCCUGAUCCAGCCAUGCCGCGUGUGUGAAGAAGGCCUUCGGGUUGUAAAGCACUUUCAGUGGGGAAGAAAGCCUUGGGGCUAAUACCCUCGAGGAAGGACAUCACCCACAGAAGAAGCACCGGCUAACUCCGUGCCAGCAGCCGCGGUAAUACGGAGGGUGCGAGCGUUAAUCGGAAUUACUGGGCGUAAAGCGCGCGUAGGCGGUCUGAUAAGCCGGUUGUGAAAGCCCCGGGCUCAACCUGGGAACGGCAUCCGGAACUGUCAGGCUAGAGUGCAGGAGAGGAAGGUAGAAUUCCCGGUGUAGCGGUGAAAUGCGUAGAGAUCGGGAGGAAUACCAGUGGCGAAGGCGGCCUUCUGGACUGACACUGACGCUGAGGUGCGAAAGCGUGGGUAGCAAACAGGAUUAGAUACCCUGUGUC